GACGAACGCUGGCGGCGUGCUUAACACAUGCAAGUCGAACGGAAAGGCCCUGCUUUUGUUGGGUGCUCGAGUGGCGAACGGGUGAGUAACACGUGAGUAACCUGCCCUUGACUUUGGGAUAACUUCAGGAAACUGGGGCUAAUACCGGAUAGGAGCUCCUGCUGCAUGGUGUGGGUUGGAAAGUUUCGGCGGUUGGGGAUGGACUCGCGGCUAGUUAGCCUGUUGGUGGGGUAGCGGCUUACCAAGGUUUCGACGGGUAGCGGGCCUGAGAGGGAGACAGGCCACAUUGGGCCUGAGAUAGGGCCCAGAGUCCUACGGGGGGCAGCGGUGGGGAAUAUUGCACAAUGGGCGGAGGCCUGAUGCAGCAACGCCGGGUGGGGAAUGACGGCCUUCGGGUUGUAAACCGCUUGCGCCUGGGACGAAGCGUGAGUGACGGUAAUGGAUAAAGAAGCACCGGCUAACUACGUG
Molecule: ribosomal RNA, 468 nt
Filed under: uncultured bacterium
Lineage: Bacteria
Description: partial 16S ribosomal RNA
Rfam family: Bacterial small subunit ribosomal RNA
Source: RNAcentral